RNAcentral lists this ribosomal RNA (505 nucleotides) under uncultured bacterium. Its description in RNAcentral is "bacterial SSU rRNA". It matches the Rfam family "Bacterial small subunit ribosomal RNA", at positions 26 to 518 of the family's 1533-position model. The record is from RNAcentral.
AGGACGAACGCUGGCGGCGUGCUUAACACAUGCAAGUCGAACGGAUUUAGAGAUGAGCUUGCUCAACUCUAAGUAGUGGCGCACGGGUGAGUAACACGUGGGUAACCUGCCUGUAAGACCGGGAUAACACCGGGAAACUGGUGCUAAUACCGGACGUGCUUGCGAGAAGGCAUCUUCUUGCAAGGAAACGGUGACGUAAGAAUCCGCUUACAGAUGGACCCGCGUCCCAUUAGCCUGUUGGUGGGGUAACGGCCUACCAAAGCUACGAUGGGUAGCCGGCCUGAGAGGGUGGCCGGCCACACUGGGACUGAGACACGGCCCAGACUCCUACGGGAGGCAGCAGUGGGGAAUCUUGCGCAAUGGGCGAAAGCCUGACGCAGCCAACGCCGCGUGGAUGAUGAAGGCCUUCGGGUCGUAAAAUCCUGUUGUAGGGGACGAAACCUCGUGAAAGCGAGCUGACGGUACCCUACGAGGAAGCCCCGGCUAACUACGUGCCAGCAGCGGC